CAACAGUUCUCUUGGGUUGACUGAACCUACCUAUCCGAAAUCAGCGACCAGGGACAGAGAGCAAGAACCCACCGCUAACCCACAACCGCCGGACACGUGAGAGCAAGACAAAACGACGGGUCCCACAGGGACGCGAGGAAAGUAGCAGCCCAACCCCCCGACGACACUUUGGUGAACAGUUGUAGGCGACGAGGCACCCUCCAUUGUUCGCCCUUUCACUCUCACUUGAUGGUUUAAAUUGGAAAAUCACUUUGCUGCACAUUUCUUUUUAUGCAGACAACCUCCAUAGGAAUCUGGAAUUUUGGAGCUCUGAGCUGUUCCAGCUGGUGGCAUGUGACGGAAGGGCGCUCCACAUUUUCACAGGGCGAUCCUCCCCCCUCCCUCCCCGCUGCUCUCUUCCCGGAGAAGAUUGGAUCCCCGCCGUUGUAGAUCUGGGUUUGAAGCGAGCAGAAGAGAAGAGAGGAGGGGAGCAGCAGAGUUGAGCCAGAGAUGGAGGCGCUGAGCAACGACCCACUGCCUCCACCCGCCGCCGGCGAAGCCACGUCCGCCUCCCCGCCCCAUGGACGGGGCCGUCGUCCCGGGCUCCUUCGCUGCCGUCCCCGCCGGCCGUGGGCUCAGCCCCGGCUGCCCGGCUUCCCCCGAUUUGGUAUUUUUUUAUUUUGGUAUUUGUCACGGAACCGGAUUAAUGUAAACGGAUUAUCUUAAGCUUAAUGGUAUAAUUGUCCACUUAAGGGCAAUUGCACAA
Long non-coding RNA from Brachypodium distachyon (stiff brome), 745 nucleotides. RefSeq lists it as uncharacterized. The record is from RefSeq and is a predicted model, not a curated record. The transcript has 4 exons. NCBI's taxonomy places the organism in Eukaryota, Viridiplantae, Streptophyta, Magnoliopsida, Poales, Poaceae.